RNAcentral lists this small RNA (1375 nucleotides) under Pongo abelii (Sumatran orangutan). Its description in RNAcentral is "retained intron". Lineage: Eukaryota; Metazoa; Chordata; Mammalia; Primates; Hominidae. The record is from RNAcentral.
ACUAAUUCACAUGAUCUUAUUUAAUGUGGAGAACUUAAUUUAUUCUAAACUUUCCAGCUAUGAAACUGAUGCUUUUAAAAGUUUUUGUAAGGGAAGAAAGACUUCACUGCAACGUCUGUUUGAUUACACACACAUUGAUUAGAUUAUAGGAAUAGUAGUUAUUUUUGGCAACUGCAGUAGUCUUGAGAAAAGUCUGCCUUUAGCAAUUAUUCGUAGUAUUUAUCUUCAGAAAUCAGGAUUGAGUUGGUUGUUCUCCAUUCAUAUAAUGCUUUGAGUGUAGAUAAAUGGUCAAUAAAUACGUGAAUGAAUUGAUAUUGUGAAAUAGAAUUCUCUGUUAGUCAUAAGUAUUUAGAAAUAAAAGGAAUGUAGUUUCUUGCUUACUGGUGAUAACUUUGUAAGUGGAGUAAAAAGAAUGAAAAAAUUGAAAUUUUAAUUCUCUUCAAAUGGGGAAGGGAAAAUAGAAAUGUAUUUUAUAUUCUAAAUCUUGAGAGUCAUUAGGUUGAAAUUUGCAAUUUUUUGUAGUUAAUGCAAGGCAUGUUAAAAUAUAAUUUGUCUUGGUUUUAACAUUCUGAGCCACUAUGUAGCAGAAUUUAUCUGUAUUACUUGACAUUGCCCAAUUCUUUCUAUAUUCUGUGGGAUAAUGUUUUAGCUUUACUUGUUCAGUUGGAAUAUAUUUGUACUUUUUUAGUUUAGUUAUUUUACCCAGGAGGCAGCUGUUAGUUUAAAAAAAAAAAAUUUGGAAUAUACUGUUCUUUUGGUGGUUUUAUUCUAUACUAAAAUUUGAAAUUGUGAGUGACUCGUGGUCGUGCUUUAUUUAUGCAGAAUAUCCUCCGAAUCCUAAAUCUAGAGCUCCAAGGAUGCUGGUCAUUAAGAAAGGUAAUACAAAAGACUUACAGCUAUCUGGAUUCCCAGUAGUAGGAAAUCUUCCGUCACAGCCAGUUAAGAAUGGAACUGGUCCAAGUGUUUAUAAAGGUUUAGUCCCUAAACCUGCUGCUCCACCUACAAAACCUACACAAUGGAAAAGCCAAACAAAAGAAAAUAAAGUUGGAACUUCUUUCCCUCAUGAGUCCACAUUUGGUGUUGGCAACUUUAAUGCUUUUAAAUCAACUGCCAAGAACUUUAGUCCAUCAACAAAUUCAGUGAAAGAGUGUAAUCGCUCAAAUUCCUCUUCUCCUGUUGACAAACUUAAUCAGCAGCCUCGUCUAACCAAACUGACACGAAUGCGCACUGAUAAGAAGAGUGAAUUUUUGAAAGCAUUGAAAAGAGACAGAGUAGAAGAGGAACAUGAGGAUGAAAGCCGUGCUGGCUCAGAGAAGGAUGACGACUCAUUUAAUUUACAUAACAGCAAUAGUACUCACCAAGAAAGGGAUAUAAA